UUGCUUUCAUUAUAGCAUAAAAUAGUGUAUAAUUUACUUGUUAUUUAAUAUUUUUAAUUGAAUAACUAUUAAGAUAAACGUUUAUAUAAUUACUGCUUUGGACCUGGGGGCAGUACCCAGCGCCUCCACCAUUUUUCUUAAGGGGGCGAAAUAGCUUCGACAAAUCAGGAAAAAUAAAUUUUCUUACGGUAUGAUAUCACCGUUAUCGAGUCAAAUUUAUAAACGCCAAUGAUAAUUCAGGUGUUGCUUUAGCAGCUUAGUUGCUCUGAAGUAAGGGGGUUUGGGUAUUACCUGGCAACAGAAAAUACCCAUU
This 313-nucleotide transfer-messenger RNA is filed under the name Candidatus Hepatincola sp. Av. Its description in RNAcentral is "alpha_tmRNA". It matches the Rfam family "Alphaproteobacteria transfer-messenger RNA". Rfam says of the family: Bacterial tmRNA, also known as 10Sa RNA or SsrA, is named for its dual tRNA and mRNA-like properties. Its role is to liberate the mRNA from a stalled ribosome. To accomplish this part of the tmRNA is used as a reading frame that ends in a translation stop signal. The record is from RNAcentral. Lineage: Bacteria; Pseudomonadati; Pseudomonadota; Alphaproteobacteria; Rhodospirillales; Candidatus Hepatincolaceae.